RNAcentral lists this ribosomal RNA (427 nucleotides) under Microvirga ossetica. RNAcentral's name for it is "partial 16S ribosomal RNA". It matches the Rfam family "Bacterial small subunit ribosomal RNA", at positions 355 to 774 of the family's 1533-position model. Lineage: Bacteria; Pseudomonadati; Pseudomonadota; Alphaproteobacteria; Hyphomicrobiales; Methylobacteriaceae. RNAcentral also lists the same sequence under 3 other names. The record is from RNAcentral.
UGGGGAAUAUUGGACAAUGGGCGAAAGCCUGAUCCAGCCAUGCCGCGUGUGUGAAGAAGGUCUUCGGAUUGUAAAGCACUUUAAGUUGGGAGGAAGGGCAGUUACCUAAUACGUGAUUGUUUUGACGUUACCGACAGAAUAAGCACCGGCUAACUCUGUGCCAGCAGCCGCGGUAAUACAGAGGGUGCAAGCGUUAAUCGGAAUUACUGGGCGUAAAGCGCGCGUAGGUGGUUAGUUAAGUUGGAUGUGAAAUCCCCGGGCUCAACCUGGGAACUGCAUUCAAAACUGACUGACUAGAGUAUGGUAGAGGGUGGUGGAAUUUCCUGUGUAGCGGUGAAAUGCGUAGAUAUAGGAAGGAACACCAGUGGCGAAGGCGACCACCUGGACUGAUACUGACACUGAGGUGCGAAAGCGUGGGGAGCAAACA